This is a long non-coding RNA of Plutella xylostella (diamondback moth), 831 nucleotides long. RefSeq lists it as uncharacterized. The record is from RefSeq and is a predicted model, not a curated record. Lineage: Eukaryota; Metazoa; Arthropoda; Insecta; Lepidoptera; Plutellidae.
CUUGGGAUACCUACUAGGGAAAGGUAAUUUAAUUAAUUGUUAUAUAAUAAAUGCACUAAUCAAAAAGAUACAGAAACAUCACAUACCUACUUAUAUUAUAUCAACGUCAUCUAGGCGCGCUGGAAGCAACAGUUAUUUCCGCUAUGGAAGCCGCCUAAGUCGCCACCGCCCGCCCCGCCGCCCGCAUACGAAACCGCCCCGCCGCUCCAUUGACCGCUGUUGCUCCACUGACUGCUGUAGCCACCGCUGACUGCUGUAGCCACCGCUGACUGCUGUAGCUACUCUUCCGCAUACUUCGGACUCUUCCGCCUACGAUCACACCCUAUAUUGAACACUGAAAGCUUAGUUUCCAAGAAAAUUUAUUCCAAGUAUGAACUGGGAAGCUAAACACAGUGUCUAUAAAGCCCGUCACAGACUUAGUGUUAAGUAAGUUAGUGUUAAGUUGUUAGUAAGUUAGUGUUAAGUUAAGUUACUAUAGAAACCUCAGAAUGGAAAUAGAAAGACUUAUAAAACGAUUUCAGUUUGUAUUUUUGUAUUUAACAAAUUUUCUUUUAAAAAUAAAAAAAAUAAAAAUUCAUUUUUAACAAAUAGGUACUUAGGCAAAAGUUUGCGGGGCAUUAGACCGGAAACAUCAGUCAAUUUACGCAGUAUUCAAUUACAUGAUCUUAUGCUAUCGCCCCACUUGGCUAUUCGUAUCUGCCAAAACUUCUAUUGGCUAUAUUUGUGAAAUAAGCAUUUCAUAGGCAAAUUCGGCAUUCGAUUAUGUACACUAAACUUCUCUCCUCUCAGCCUAUCGCACUACCAACCACUUUCUCGACAUCACCAAAGGUU